UCCUGGACUCAAGCAAUUUGUCUACCUCAUCCUGUUCAAUAGUUAGGACUACAGGAUGAAAUCCCAACAUGUCUCCUUGUCACCUAUGUCUGUCCCUUCAACUCAGGACCCACACUACAACUAAAUGAUCUUUUCAAAAAGCAAAACUGAUCAUACCAACCACUGCCUCUCAGCAGGAGUUGAAAGCUGUCACCACUCUGCUAACUCAACUCAAGCAUCACCACCGCUGGGAUGCUGUCCUGGCCCUCUUCUCAGAUGGAACUGGCCAUUUUCUUUUUGGUGCCUACACCCUGCCCCCAAUCUCACAUGUAUAUGUCUCUGUGUUACUUGCUUUCUUAUUCUGCUAUGUUCUUACAGGUUUAUAAAUUGUUACUCUUGUGUUAGGGGGUGAACUCUUUGAGUCAUUCCUAAGCUGUCCACCUUUUUUUGGAGCUUAAUACAGUACCUGACACUUAUGAAACAUGCAAUCUC
This 471-nucleotide long non-coding RNA is filed under the name Callithrix jacchus (white-tufted-ear marmoset). RNAcentral describes it as "lncRNA (ENSCJAG00000085598.1)". Lineage: Eukaryota; Metazoa; Chordata; Mammalia; Primates; Cebidae. The record is from RNAcentral.